CACGCGGGUUGCACGCUGGGCACACGUGCCUGGUCGGUGUUACUUGAAGCGUGGGGACUAGAAGUCAGAUACUGAGGAGCAUGAUCUCUGGAAGCUGGAGAGACCUUAAGAGUGAGGCCGACCUGCUGUGGAUGCUGGAAUCCUUUGGGCACCAAGAAGCGCUUACACACGCUCUAGUGAUGGGGAACUUACCACUUCAUGAGCCCUUCCACAGCAAGUGGCUGUAAAUUGUUAACCAAGUUGGAUGCAUCUGGGGCUGCUGUGACCCUGCCGGAGGGAAGUCUUCUCCUCUAGGAACAGUCACACUUGGGCAGAAUCAGGCCCCGUGGAGCAGCCUUCUGGUGGUGGAGAAGGCACAUGGCUUAUAGAGACUUGCUCUCCCUGGUGCCAGUGUGGUAGCAACAGAACCAAGAGCAGCUCCCACCAAAGCCUGCAGAACGUCCAGAUGCCCUAAGCAUGGAGCCCAUGUACUUAAAGAUAACGAUAAUGAGCCGGCUUCGAUUGAAGGAUUAAUGGUCACUGACAACACUAAUAGCCACUACCUUUAGCAAGCACAUCUGCCCAUUUCAAGUUUAAUUAUAGCUCCUCAUAGCUUCUUAUAAGUGGAGAUGCUAACCAAGGAUGGCAUGUUCUUCCUCCUGCUUUCUGAGGAUGCUCUACUUGACUCUGUAGCAGGUUUCCAAUAAAUUUGCUUCUUUUACUGUGGUCUGUGGCUCUCCUUGAAUUAUUUCCUGCACAAGAUCCAAUAACCUGUUCUUGGAGUCUGGAUUAUGACCCUCUUUUCCAGCAAUAUAUACACAUGGGGAAUACCCAGGGAAUGAGUCGUUCUCUAUAUAAGAAUUCCAGCUUAUAUAGCACCUCCAACAAAGAACAAGAGAAAUGAGUCUCUAGGGGCAGCAACUUGUGGGAAGGCAAGUAAUUGGCAGAUAAAGACCAGUGAGUGAAGCUUGUUCAUGUCGAUUGCUCUGGCGCCAUCUCCAGGUCCAUGAAAGUCUCAAGUUGUCUUCAGUGGUUGACUUUUGUUUUUGUUUUUUUUUUUGAGACUGAGUCUCUCUUUGUCGCCCAGGCUGGGGUGCAGUGGCACCAUCUUGGCUCACUGCAACCUCCGCCUCCUGGGUUCAAGUGAUUCUCCUGCCUCAGCCUCCAGAGUAGCUGGGAUUACAGGUACCUGCGACCACGCCCAGCUAAUUUUUUGUAUUUUAAGUAGAGACAGUUUCACCAUAUUGGCCAGGCUGGUCUCAAAAUCCUGACCUCAGGUGAUCCACCUACCUUAGCCUCCCAAAGUGCUGGGAUUACAGGCAUGAGCCAUGGAGCCUGGCCCCAGCCUUUGUCCUUCUUAGUAGAACUGGGUACAGGAUACCUUAUGUCUUCGUAAAUCUAUGUCCCUCUUUUAGGCAAUUAGAGGAAGGGCAGAGAGCUUUCCUGCAUCUGCAUCUUCUCAAUUGCCUUCAGCUCAACAGUGCUUAUAACAAACAGGCAUAUUUAGUGGGGCGUAUUCUGAUCUUCCACAGAUAUUGCAGGUGUAAUGUCCUGAUGGCAGGGUAUGGGUCACAUCUCUGCUCUCAGGAGGUGGGGAGAGGGAAUCUGGAGCCUCCUCGACUUCCAUGGGGAGGUUGGGGCCGUGCCGACCGCCAUGACCCAUACAACCACAGACAGAAGUUCCUUGGUAGUAACCAGCACACAUUCAUUAUAGUGAAUGAACAGACCAGAGCAGGUAGCAUGGACCUCAGCCGCAGCUCAUGGACCAUCCAGCGCUGGGACAUUGCAGAGGUUCCCUAACCUCUCCUAAGCCUGAGUUUACUCAUGCAGAAAAUGCCAGAGUGGACUUGGAGGGUAGCUAUAGGCCCUAUGAGCACUGAGAUUUCCUGAGACAUUGCCGCUGUCCAUGCCCCUCCCCUGUCUUGACCUUUCCAACAGACUGGAGGCUAGAAUGAAGAUAAGGAGUACCAUUUUUUGUUAGGCACUUGGAGACGGUCCAGACUUUGCUAUAGCAAAGGUUAAUGUUCUGUCAUCUCAAAGAUCCAUUUCCCCAGGCUCUCGGAAUGUAAAUGUUAAGGUGAUGAAAAUAGUGAAGUCUAGGUUCUGGCUCAUUUGACUCAGAGCCGCUCACCCCUCACCGUGCAACCCUGGAGCACAGGGCCUCCUCUGUGGCCUGAACCUUCAUAAACUUGGGUUUAGGCUGUCAGCACUGAUUUAAAGAGAUUUGCUUUGUUCCGUUUGCUUCUGGGAAAGAACUGACAUUCACAGCAGGGUUUGGGGGUUAAGAGUGAAACCUGAGCUGGCUUCUUCCCCCUCUGGGGGUGCAAAGUGAGUCAGAUGUUUGCACAGAAGGCUGCGGUGUCACAUCCACAAAUUCGCAGGCUUUAUGCCUUUACCACUUCAAACAGGAAAGGUGUCGCAACAUAACAGUUUUAAUUGCUAAACCCCAGCUGCAAACCCAAAUCUCUGGAUUUAAUAAUAAUUGGGUGUGAAAGACUGUGAACAGUGGCAGUUUUCUGCCAGGUGGGUUUAUUUGUUCCUUCACCUCCUCAUUUGCUUCCUCGUUGGUGCCCAAGCCCAUUCCAAAGGCCUCUGGCCGAUCUGCCUGCGUGCCCUCCUGGCGAUGGGCCUAUGAUCUCACCUGUAGCUUUACCUUCUUUCCUGCUCCUGGUUGAGAUUUGUGGACCUUUGUAUCCACCAUGGUCGCCUUAGAACAAGUGACUGGAAAUUAUUCAUACCAGCUAUGGUUGGUAGGACUCUCAGGGCACAACACAGGUAGACAAAAAAUAAGGUUUUCUUUCUAGAACUUGACUCUGAGUCCAGGUUUUUGCCAUGCCAGCCUGGUAUGAAGCCUUUAACCAGCUGGGCUCGAUGGCUCACAUCUGUAAUCCCAGCACUUUGGGAGGCCAAGUCGGGUGGAUCACGAGGUCAGGAGUUCAAGACCAGCCCGACCAACAUGGAGAAACCCCAUUUCUAUUAAAAAUACAAAAUCAUCCGAGCACAGUCAUGCAUGCCUGCGGUCCCAGCUACUCAGGAAGCUGAUGCAGGAGAAUUGCUUGAACCUGGGAGGUGGAGGUUGCAGUGAGCAUCACUUCACUCUAGCCUGGGCGACAGAAUAAGACUCCGUCUCAAAAGAAAAAAAAAACAACCCUCUAACUGUGGUCUUUCCUGGGUACGUACCCACUUCCCCAGGAACAUAUAUAUAUUGAGUUUCGCACAGUCCUGGGGGGUGGAAGGAAGGCCAUGACUAGGGAGGGAAAUGAAUCUGGCUCUGGGUCACUGGUCCACAUAGUUGGUCAAGGGUUCUGUUGGUCCUGCUAAGUGGCCCCUUUGGCUUCAGGAGGGGCCACUUAGCAGGCCCCUCUGCUGCUUUCCUGCCAUCCUGGGGCCCUUUCUGA
Molecule: long non-coding RNA, 3377 nt
Organism: Callithrix jacchus (white-tufted-ear marmoset)
Lineage: Eukaryota; Metazoa; Chordata; Mammalia; Primates; Cebidae
Source: RefSeq, a predicted model, not a curated record